Molecule: non-coding RNA, 29 nt
Filed under: Homo sapiens (human)
Lineage: Eukaryota; Metazoa; Chordata; Mammalia; Primates; Hominidae
Source: RNAcentral
UCCNCAGCUGAGUGCUAAUGCUGUAUUGA